RNAcentral lists this ribosomal RNA (706 nucleotides) under Streptomyces sp. MJ605. Its description in RNAcentral is "bacterial SSU rRNA". It matches the Rfam family "Bacterial small subunit ribosomal RNA", at positions 62 to 784 of the family's 1533-position model. The record is from RNAcentral. Lineage: Bacteria; Bacillati; Actinomycetota; Actinomycetes; Kitasatosporales; Streptomycetaceae.
UCGAACGAUGAACCACUUCGGUGGGGAUUAGUGGCGAACGGGUGAGUAACACGUGGGCAAUCUGCCCUGCACUCUGGGACAAGCCCUGGAAACGGGGUCUAAUACCGGAUACGACGCGCUCAGGCAUCUGAUGCGCGUGGAAAGCUCCGGCGGUGCAGGAUGAGCCCGCGGCCUAUCAGCUUGUUGGUGAGGUAACGGCUCACCAAGGCGACGACGGGUAGCCGGCCUGAGAGGGCGACCGGCCACACUGGGACUGAGACACGGCCCAGACUCCUACGGGAGGCAGCAGUGGGGAAUAUUGCACAAUGGGCGAAAGCCUGAUGCAGCGACGCCGCGUGAGGGAUGACGGCCUUCGGGUUGUAAACCUCUUUCAGCAGGGAAGAAGCGAAAGUGACGGUACCUGCAGAAGAAGCGCCGGCUAACUACGUGCCAGCAGCCGCGGUAAUACGUAGGGCGCGAGCGUUGUCCGGAAUUAUUGGGCGUAAAGAGCUCGUAGGCGGCUUGUCGCGUCGGUUGUGAAAGCCCGGGGCUUAACCCCGGGUCUGCAGUCGAUACGGGCAGGCUAGAGUUCGGUAGGGGAGAUCGGAAUUCCUGGUGUAGCGGUGAAAUGCGCAGAUAUCAGGAGGAACACCGGUGGCGAAGGCGGAUCUCUGGGCCGAUACUGACGCUGAGGAGCGAAAGCGUGGGGAGCGAACAGGAUUAGAUA